GUUUGACAUCUGAAUUGAUAUUAGGGCUUUAGAUCUCUUUAGAAUUUGGAUGAAAUAUGAUUUAACUCGUCUUUGCUAUAGAUUGCUGCCUCUAUAUUUCUGUCUAUUUUCUGUAUUUCAGACUUGAGGCGAACACAGUUUUUUCGAAAAGGAUACAAAAACUAUAGUGAACAUGACUUGGACCUGGCAGCUUUGUCAUAUUUAAAAAAGGAAAUGAACUUAGACACGGCAGUAGAAUUUUAUAAAGUUCCUCGUAUGACUGUCUACAGAAGAGCAAAAAAAUUACAAUCAGAAAUGAUGUUACAUUCUUUUUGUGAUGUGAUUGAGGAUAAGAAAUAGAAUUUGCCUGUUUUUGACUCUGCUUUCUAUGAUAUGGGAAACGGGACACUUUUUGAGAAAAUUUGUUUCCCCAUUUAUGGGUUGUAUAUAAAACACGAGUUUAAUUGUACAUGUACUUAAAACCGAAAACAGUAGAAAUCAAAAUCACUGAACUUCCAAAAUGUAAAACUGUACUCUGUAUUUCAGGGGUCUUUUUGACAGGGAACAUGCAAAAGAAAGAUCGGAAAAGACAUUUUUAUAAACCAGAGAACUUGGAAAGGGCAGUUCAGGCUGUGAAAGCUGGAAUACUGAAUACUUAUCAGGCUGCAAGAUACUUUAAUGUUCCCAGAGGAACAAUAUCAAAUAAAAUAUAUGCCAGAAAAACAAGGGCAAAAUAAAUUUAAAAAUUCUUCAAGACAUAAAUGAAUAACUUUAUUUUUUUGGUCAAUAAAUCAAUCAAACAGA
RNAcentral lists this long non-coding RNA (783 nucleotides) under Mytilus galloprovincialis (Mediterranean mussel). Lineage: Eukaryota; Metazoa; Mollusca; Bivalvia; Mytilida; Mytilidae. The record is from RNAcentral.